UCGAGCGGAACGAUGAUAGCUUGCUAUCAGGCGUCGAGCGGCGGACGGGUGAGUAAUACUUAGGAAUCUACCUAGUAGUGGGGGAUAGCACGGGGAAACUCGUAUUAAUACCGCAUACGACCUACGGGAGAAAGGGGGCAGUUUACUGCUCUCGCUAUUAGAUGAGCCUAAGUCGGAUUAGCUAGAUGGUGGGGUAAAGGCCUACCAUGGCGACGAUCUGUAGCUGGUCUGAGAGGAUGAUCAGCCACACCGGGACUGAGACACGGCCCGGACUCCUACGGGAGGCAGCAGUGGGGAAUAUUGGACAAUGGGGGAAACCCUGAUCCAGCCAUGCCGCGUGUGUGAAGAAGGCCUUUUGGUUGUAAAGCACUUUAAGCAGUGAAGAAGACUCCGUGGUUAAUACCCACGGACGAUGACAUUAGCUGCAGAAUAAGCACCGGCUAACUCUGUGCCAGCAGCCGCGGUAAUACAGAGGGUGCAAGCGUUAAUCGGAAUUACUGGGCGUAAAGGGAGCGUAGGUGGCUCUAUAAGUCAGAUGUGAAAUCCCCGGGCUCAACCUGGGAACUGCAUCUGAAACUGUAGAGCUAGAGUAUGUGAGAGGAAGGUAGAAUUCCAGGUGUAGCGGUGAAAUGCGUAGAGAUCUGGAGGAAUACCGAUGGCGAAGGCAGCCUUCUGGCAUAAUACUGACACUGAUGCUCGAAAGCGUGGGUAGCAAAACAGGAUUAGAUACCCUGGUAGUCCACGCCGUAAACGAUGUCUACUAGUCGUUGGGUCCCUUGAGGACUUAGUGACGCAGCUAACGCAAUAAGUAGACCGCCUGGGGAGUACGGCCGCAAGGUUAAAACUCAAAUGAAUUGACGGGGGCCCGCACAAGCGGUGGAGCAUGUGGUUUAAUUCGAUGCAACGCGAAGAACCUUACCUGGUCUUGACAUAUCUAGAAUCCUGCAGAGAUGCGGGAGUGCCUUCGGGAAUUAGAAUACAGGUGCUGCAUGGCUGUCGUCAGCUCGUGUCGUGAGAUGUUGGGUUAAGUCCCGCAACGAGCGCAACCCUUGUCCUUAGUUACCAGCGGGUUAAGCCGGGAACUCUAAGGAUACUGCCAGUGACAAACUGGAGGAAGGCGGGGACGACGUCAAGUCAUCAUGGCCCUUACGACCAGGGCUACACACGUGCUACAAUGGUAGGUACAGAGGGCAGCUACACAGCGAUGUGAUGCGAAUCUCAAAAAGCCUAUCGUAGUCCAGAUUGGAGUCUGCAACUCGACUCCAUGAAGUAGGAAUCGCUAGUAAUCGCGGAUCAGAAUGCCGCGGUGAAUACGUUCCCGGGCCUUGUACACACCGCCCGUCACACCAUGGGAGUUGAUUGCACCAGAAGUGGAUAGCUUAACCUUC
This 1388-nucleotide ribosomal RNA is filed under the name Psychrobacter fozii. RNAcentral describes it as "bacterial SSU rRNA". It matches the Rfam family "Bacterial small subunit ribosomal RNA". The record is from RNAcentral. Lineage: Bacteria; Pseudomonadati; Pseudomonadota; Gammaproteobacteria; Moraxellales; Moraxellaceae.